GGUGGGGUAUCUUCCGCAUGGACGAAGUCUGACGGCACCCCGCCGCGUGAGUGAUGAAGGUUUUCGGAUCGUAAAGCUCUGUUGUUAGGGAAGAACAAGUGCCGUUCAAAUAGGGCGGCACCUUGCCGGUACCUAACCAAAAAGCCACGGCUAACUACGUGCCAGCAGCCGCGGUAUCCA
Molecule: ribosomal RNA, 180 nt
Filed under: uncultured Bacillus sp.
Lineage: Bacteria; Bacillati; Bacillota; Bacilli; Caryophanales; Bacillaceae
Description: partial 16S ribosomal RNA
Rfam family: Bacterial small subunit ribosomal RNA
Source: RNAcentral